UAUGCGGGCUGGACGGUCGCGGUGGCCUUGCGCCAACGAGGAAAGUCCGGGCUUCUUGAGGCAGGAUGCCGGCUAACGGCCGGGCGGGGAAACCCGAUGGAAAGUGCUGAAGAAACUUAAACUCCCACUGGCGCCUUCGGGCGUUAAGAGAAAAGCUGAGAAGGUGCGGUAAGAGCGCACCAGCACGUCAGCAAUGGCGUGGCUUGGUAAACCCCAUCCGAAGCAAGGGCGAAUAGGCAUGCGAUACGGUUGAGCCUCUCCGUGCAUGCGGGUAGCCUGCUUGAGGCGUGUGGUAACGCACGUCCUAGAUAAAUGGCCGUCUUCAACGACAGAACCCGGCUCAUAGGCCCGCUAAGGCA
Molecule: RNase P RNA, 359 nt
Filed under: Slackia isoflavoniconvertens
Lineage: Bacteria; Bacillati; Actinomycetota; Coriobacteriia; Eggerthellales; Eggerthellaceae
Also listed under: 2 other names
Description: RNase P RNA component class A
Rfam family: Bacterial RNase P class A
About the family: Ribonuclease P (RNase P) is a ubiquitous endoribonuclease, found in archaea, bacteria and eukarya as well as chloroplasts and mitochondria. Its best characterised activity is the generation of mature 5'-ends of tRNAs by cleaving the 5'-leader elements of precursor-tRNAs.
Source: RNAcentral